Sphaerodactylus townsendi is the source of this 891-nucleotide long non-coding RNA. RefSeq lists it as uncharacterized. The record is from RefSeq and is a predicted model, not a curated record. The transcript has 2 exons. Lineage: Eukaryota; Metazoa; Chordata; Lepidosauria; Squamata; Sphaerodactylidae.
UGAGGAAUCUUUCGUUCUCUUUUUAAGUAAAGGAGAAGGUAAUCCACCUGCGCAAGCACAGUUACCAGCCUUGAAGCCAUGUCCAGUGAAAUUAGCGCUGAAGAGAAAAAUGACCAGCAUUUCCAGGAGCUAAGAAAAGUGCCCUCAUCCAAGUGGUGGUGCGGAGGCAGAUCCUAAACACACACACAUUAUGAAUAGCCAAAGGACCAAUAUUUAUGCCCUGGGGCGGUGCUGGGGUGGUGUGUGAGGUAAGCUGGUAGGAAAGCCAGAGACAAACAAUUGAAUGCCUUUCCGGGAUUCGAACAAUAAGAUAGGACAGGCUUUGAUGGGUCAUCAGGAUGCAAGAGAAUGUGUUGGCUAUUCUCCUGAAUCCUGAAUAAUUACGGGGAUGGGUGCAGAUUAGAGUAAGUAAUGGUCUUCUUUGAGUGAUGAUGGGCAGCCCAAUUGUGUGUGGGGUGUGUGUGGAGGAAUUCCCCUCUGGAGCUGGCAGGGGUUUACGCCAGUAGAUUUGCCCUCCCUGGGGUACUUACCUCGCCUGAGGGGCAAAUCCACCAGUGCCCAUCCACUGCAGGGCCCUGGGACACCUGGCUGCGGCACCCAGCUCUGCACUGGCACUCCCUGACUGCAUCAGUGUGGCAGAGGCAUUUCACAGGUUGAGAUGACCUUAAUCGGUUUUCACUGCCCAAUCCAUAGUGUGAUUUCACAUAGCUCACCAUUGCCUUCCCCAGCCAUCUGCUCUUCACGCCCAGCAAGCAGGAUAGUCAUUUUACUGAACUCAGAGGGAUAGAAGUCUGAGUCAACCUUGUGCCAGGCUGAUGAAGAGUUCUGUGCAACCCCGAAGCUUGCACUGUUUUGAGUCAUUUGCUUGGUCCUAAUAAAAGAUACUAUGCA